Parus major (Great Tit) is the source of this 1468-nucleotide long non-coding RNA. RefSeq lists it as uncharacterized. The record is from RefSeq and is a predicted model, not a curated record. Lineage: Eukaryota; Metazoa; Chordata; Aves; Passeriformes; Paridae. The transcript is spliced from 2 exons.
CCAAACCGCCCCAUCAAAAAAAUUUGUCCUCUCUCCAAAGCGUAAAUAGAAAAAAUAAAUUCUGCUCUCAGUGUUUCUCGCGGCAGUGCUCUGGGGAGGGUUGAUGACAACAAGCUCCACUGCCUUGUCCGCAGACAGGACCGGGCCGGGGCUGCAUGUGCCUCACCCGAGUGCGGGCAGGAAGGGUCGGCAAGGCACGGCACCACUAUAAAAACAAAAAAAAAUCACCGCUGUGAGCAACCCGAAAUAACCUCAAAAAUCCGCCGUUUCAGCAGAGCUGGAUGCAAUGUAUAAGUCGGAAUGGGGUGUGUAUAGGGUUUUUUUUCAUUCCCUAAGUUUUUGGGUUUUAUGUCUGUCUGUCAGGGAAGCAUCCCCAUCCAGGUGCGCCCCGUCGGGGUCCGGUACCGGAGGUGGGAGCUGCGACUUCUCGCCAGCUUCUUGGAGACCCCGCUCCCCGCCGGGAGCUCAAUGCUGUCUGUCGGAUAAUGGGGCGGUGGGACUUUGUUUAACCCCGUUGCCCCUGGGGCCAGGGGUCAAGGGCUUCCUCUUCCCCCGGGACACGGCGGAGAUGCGGUUGGUCACAACAGGAGGACCGCGGCGAAGAGGGGGAAGUGAUGGCCGCAGCGUACCCCUGUCCCCGCCGCGGCCCUCCCUCUGCCAUCGCCGUGGAAUCCCGUGAACCUCCUUCUCUCCCAGGCAUCGAAAGGCUGAGAAGGGCUCCAGAUGGAUGUUUUGGGGGAGCAGGGGGCGGCCAAACAUCACCACGGGGCAGAGGGUGAUGAUGCAGAGAGGCGGCCCCUGUCUUCCAGCAUCCCCCGGUUCUGCUUUCUCCUCCCAGCUGGAGCAGGACGUUUUUAACGGGGUUCCGGUUUUAAUAGGGUUUCACCCCCUCCCUCCACAGGUAGAGAUGUCUCAGCUGCCCCCCCGGAGCCAAGAAACGGGAGAAACGGGCAAUUUUUAUAGGUGACGUACGGGCUUACGUGGGAAUCUGUGCCCAGCACUGCUCUUUCAGCUUUUUUUUCUCCUCAAAUAACCCUUCCGUGAAGCUCGUACCCCUCUAUUCCAUCUCGCAACCCCUUUUCCAGGCUGGGGAGGAGUCGGGAGAGAGGGAAGGAAAAGAGAAAAGAAAAUAAUCCCAACAUCCCGCUCUUUCCCUGCUCGGGAAGAGAGCCCCGGAGCUCCCAAAGUGAGCGCUGAAGAGGGCGGCGGGAGACAGGCGGGAGCCGGCUCCGAGGUGGAGGGGUCGGGGGUGGGAUAAGAGUAGAGGAGGACCCUCCUUUUCGGGAUUAAGGGAGAACCGGCGAAGGAGGGAAGCUGGCGGCACCGUGGGCAUCCGAGGUUUUCGACUCUGGGUGAGCAAAAGGAUUUCUUACACUCCCCGGGAAGAGGAGAAGACGUGUUUUUUUUAAAAAAAAAAUUAAUGGUGCUAAUUGCUUUUAAAAUAAAAUACUACGGAAUUUGGCAACGA